RNAcentral lists this long non-coding RNA (607 nucleotides) under Homo sapiens (human). RNAcentral describes it as "HSALNT0219015". The record is from RNAcentral. Lineage: Eukaryota; Metazoa; Chordata; Mammalia; Primates; Hominidae.
AGGCCAUGCCCCUCAACCCUUCCUCUACACUGAACCAGUGAACUAUCAAGCUCCCCGCAAAUUCUUCAGUGGCUCCCAGCACCUGGCAGACCUUUUCCGCCCAACACCCACCUGGGAGGGAGGGCGAGACCCGAGGUCAGACGUCCCUGGAGCAGGUGAGCACUGCGAGGGAACUGAGAUGCAAGAUCCUCCUGCCUGAACUCACACCCCGCGUGCUGCUCCCCCAACUCGCCUCUUGGAUCUCAGACCAGAAGCUUCCUUUCCUCAAAAUCCUUCUAUGUUCUCCAACGUCUUUGGGACAGAGCUCCUUGGCAGGGUUUACAAAGCUUAGGUGGCCCUACCCACUUCUCCAGCCUCAUCUGCUGCCUCACCCCUAUACCACAGCUCUGCACCUUUGCUGAAACUGGUACUCGGCGCUUGGGGUGUCCUCAUCUUUCCCCUACCUAUGGCAGCCUGCCCGAAGAGUGCCUGCUCCUUCAGGCUCCGCUCUCGGCUUAGCCCCUUCUUGGAACGUCCCCGCACCUCACCCCAGCCCCUUGCCAGGGGCAGACCCUGGCAGCCUUCCCUCGUCCUCAGCAGCCAUUACGUGUUGCUGUCAUAAAGUUAU